RNAcentral lists this ribosomal RNA (275 nucleotides) under uncultured bacterium. RNAcentral describes it as "partial 16S ribosomal RNA". It matches the Rfam family "Bacterial small subunit ribosomal RNA", at positions 521 to 795 of the family's 1533-position model. The record is from RNAcentral.
UAAUACGUAGGGUGCGAGCGUUAAUCGGAAUUACUGGGCGUAAAGUGUGCGCAGGCGGCAAGGCAAGUCGAGUGUGAAAGCCCCGGGCUUAACUUGGGAAUUGCGCUCGAAACUACUUUGCUGGAGUGUGGCAGAGGAAGGUGGAAUUCCACGUGUAGCGGUGAAAUGCGUAGAGAUGUGGAGGAACACCAAUGGCGAAGGCAGCCUUCUGGGCCAACACUGACGCUCAUGCACGAAAGCGUGGGGAGCAAACAGGAUUAGAUACCCUGGUAGUC